ACGGGAGGCAGCAGUUAGGAAUAUUGGGCAAUGGAGGAAACUCUGACCCAGCAACGCCGCGUGAAGGAUGAAGGUCCUCGGAUUGUAAACUUCUGUUCUAAGGGAAGAAUAAAAUGACGGUACCUUAGAAGAAAGCCCCGGCAAACUACGUGCCAGCAGCCGCGGUGAUACGUAGGGGGCAAGCGUUAUCCGGAAUGACUGGGCGUAAAGGGAGCGUAGGCGGCUGUUUAAGUUAAAUGUGUAAGCUCGGGGCUUAACUCCGGAAUUGCAUUUAAUACUGGACGGCUUGAGUGUGGGAGAGGUAAGUGGAAUUCCUAGUGUAGCAGUGAAAUGCAUAGAUAUUAGGAGGAACAUCGGUGGCGAAGGCGACUUACUGGAACAUAACUGACGCUGAGGCUCGAAAGCGUGGGGAGCAAACAGGAUUAGAUACCCUGGUA
This 437-nucleotide ribosomal RNA is filed under the name uncultured Clostridium sp. Its description in RNAcentral is "partial 16S ribosomal RNA". It matches the Rfam family "Bacterial small subunit ribosomal RNA", at positions 341 to 792 of the family's 1533-position model. Lineage: Bacteria; Bacillati; Bacillota; Clostridia; Eubacteriales; Clostridiaceae. The record is from RNAcentral.